This 253-nucleotide ribosomal RNA is filed under the name uncultured bacterium. RNAcentral describes it as "partial 16S ribosomal RNA". It matches the Rfam family "Bacterial small subunit ribosomal RNA", at positions 524 to 776 of the family's 1533-position model. The record is from RNAcentral.
UACGGAGGGGGCUAGCGUUGUUCGGAAUUACUGGGCGUAAAGCGCACGUAGGCGGACGGGAAAGUCAGAGGUGAAAUCCCAGGGCUCAACCCUGGAACUGCCUUUGAAACUCCUUGUCUUGAGGUCGAGAGAGGUGAGUGGAAUUCCGAGUGUAGAGGUGAAAUUCGUAGAUAUUCGGAGGAACACCAGUGGCGAAGGCGGCUCACUGGCUCGAUACUGACGCUGAGGCGCGAAAGCGUGGGGAGCAAACAGG